AAACUGUUGACAUUUUUGUUAUGUUUUUGUAUACUUUGUAUAUUUAACAUUACUUAUAUAGUAAAAAUUUCUAACAUAUAUAAUAUUUGCACAUAAUAUUUUAUUUACAAAUAGAUAAUGCAAUGAUAGGUUUUUUAAAUACCCGUUAUUAAACUAUUUAACAGUUUAAUUAAAUGCCAAUAAAAUUACAGAGCCUUUUUUUUAUAACAUUCAAUUCAGUUGUCUAAGACAGUUGUAAGUUGUAUUAAAACAAGGUUUUUACUUAAUAUACAUAAUAUAUUAAGUAUAAAUUUAAGACAAUCAAGUUAUAUUAAGACAAUGUCUUAAUCAUAAUAUAUAUUUUAUUUAUUUGAAUGGAAAGUUUUUUAUUUUGUUGUGGAACUAGACUAGAUAUUACCUAAUAAGCAUCUUAUAACUUGUGUAAUGUGUUUCUUUUACGAAUUUGUAUAUUGGCAUAAUCAUAUCAUGCUAUUCCUACAAUUAUAUAACUCACACUGACUCUCAUAAGUUUGAGUCUCAAGUCACGAAAAAGGUUUUUUAGGUGGAAAGUUACCAAAAUAUGUUAAGGACUUAAUUCAGAGAUAACGAUUUGCAGUCGAUAAUCUUUCGAAAACAGAAAAACUCAAGUUAGCAUCAAAUAGAAAGUUAUCGCAAUUUCUGUGUCAAACAAAGAAUACGCGAAUUAUUUGAGAUAUGAUUGAAAUUUGCAAAGAAAGUAAAAAUCAAACUAGUUUCAUUCUAAGUUAUUGUAUAUAAUUUUAAAAUUUUGGAAUAGAAGUGAUGCAAUGUUUAUUUA
Hydra vulgaris (swiftwater hydra) is the source of this 796-nucleotide long non-coding RNA. RefSeq lists it as uncharacterized. Lineage: Eukaryota; Metazoa; Cnidaria; Hydrozoa; Anthoathecata; Hydridae. The record is from RefSeq and is a predicted model, not a curated record.